RNAcentral lists this transfer RNA (69 nucleotides) under Lobianchia gemellarii. RNAcentral's name for it is "tRNA-His". It matches the Rfam family "tRNA". Rfam says of the family: Transfer RNA (tRNA) molecules are approximately 80 nucleotides in length. Their secondary structure includes four short double-helical elements and three loops (D, anti-codon, and T loops). Lineage: Eukaryota; Metazoa; Chordata; Actinopteri; Myctophiformes; Myctophidae. The record is from RNAcentral.
GUAGGUAUAGUUUAACAAAAACGUUAGAUUGUGAUUCUGAAAAUGGAAGUUAAAAUCUUCUUGCUCACC